This 85-nucleotide transfer RNA is filed under the name Felis catus (domestic cat). It matches the Rfam family "tRNA". Rfam says of the family: Transfer RNA (tRNA) molecules are approximately 80 nucleotides in length. The record is from Rfam by way of RNAcentral. Lineage: Eukaryota; Metazoa; Chordata; Mammalia; Carnivora; Felidae. RNAcentral also lists the same sequence under 4 other names.
GCCUGGGUGGCUCAGUCGGUUAAGCAUCUGACUUCGGCUCAGGUCAUGAUCUCAUGGUUUGUGGGUUUGAGCCCCGCAUCGGGCU